This is a long non-coding RNA of Polypterus senegalus (gray bichir), 522 nucleotides long. RefSeq lists it as uncharacterized. The transcript has 2 exons. The record is from RefSeq and is a predicted model, not a curated record. Lineage: Eukaryota; Metazoa; Chordata; Cladistia; Polypteriformes; Polypteridae.
AAAGCAGCCUGGCAAGCUUAAAGGAGACUCAGUACGCGGCAGCGAUUGCGUAUGUAACCGAGUUCGAUGUAAACAUCAACCGAGCGGUGCCAGCAAGUGCCAAGAAACAGUCGAUGAAAGAAUCAGUCAAUAAAAAGUGUGCCCAAGUAACUGAAAGUGCGUCCACCAACAGGCUGUCAACGGGUUAAAGCGGACCAGAGUAGACAGAAACAAACCCAGGACAUUGAGCCAAAAAGAAGAAAAUUAAAAACACGCACCUUACUUCCGGGUUCCAAGAUGGUCACCGAAGCGUCACCUCCGACAUUCUCUGAUGACGUCGCUUCCGGCUCAGACCCGUGACAACCCUUCCGGUCUCCCGAAGACGAUGUCACUUCCGGUCCCCUUUUGAUGACGUCGUAUCCAUCUGCCUGUUUUGACAUCAUCUCCUGCCAACUAUUAUCCAUCCAUCAUUUUUUGUAGUGUUUAAAAGCCACCAUUUGUAAAACUUCCGUGUGAUGUGCUGUAAAGUAUUUUGAUCACCAA